CCUACGGGGGGCAGCAGUGAGGAAUAUUGGUCAAUGGCCGGAAGGCUGAACCAGCCAAGUCGCGUGAGGGACGACUGCCCUAUGGGUUGUAAACCUCUUUUAUAAGGGAAGAAUAAAUGCUACGUGUAGCAUGAUGCCUAUACCUUAUGAAUAAGCAUCGGCUAACUCCGUGCCAGCAGCCGCGGUAAUACGGAGGAUGCGAGCGUUAUCCGGAUUUAUUGGGUUUAAAGGGUGCGCAGGCGGAGGCACAAGUCAGCGGUAAAAUCGCGGUGCUCAACCCCGCUCCGCCGUUGAAACUGUGUCCU
RNAcentral lists this ribosomal RNA (305 nucleotides) under uncultured bacterium. RNAcentral describes it as "bacterial SSU rRNA". It matches the Rfam family "Bacterial small subunit ribosomal RNA", at positions 338 to 641 of the family's 1533-position model. The record is from RNAcentral.